GAGUCCCUCCGGUGGGGGAGCAGGCGCGCAGGAAGGGAGGUUUGGAGAGGAGGCCUCGGGCCUCGGAUCUGCAGCCUCCCGCCUCCGCGCCCGGGCUCGCGUCCCGGGGAGUUCUGCGCAGAGGGAUCCCUAGGGCCCCUUGCUGGACACGCCUGUAGGGGGCAGCAGAGGAUGCCUGGGGUUCAAUUAAAAGCAGACUGAAGUGCAGGAGGUGCCAACUGUGGAGGCAGGACCAGUUAAUGCUGCCUGACAAGAAAACUGAUGUCAGAGAAGUUAAGUGGCUUGUUCAAGCUCCCCCAGCUAGGAAGUGGUAGACUGGGUCUAGGCCGUCUGUGACCGUCCAUUACACUGACCUGUGGUCAUGUAUGUGCUCAGACAAGCUCGCUGGUGGUUUGGGCUGCCCUGGCACCUCUCCCUGAACCCAGCCUCUAUGGGGAUUAAUGUCCCCUUGAAGGGAAAGUGGGCCCAGCUUCUCCAGCACAAAGCAGUCAUGAGCGUGUUUGGUGCAUUUGAUCAUUCCAGAAGAACCAUGAGAUUGGAGAGUUUGUCCUGAAGUUAAUAACAGUUACUCAAUACAGACCUCUCAUUGAACCCAGUAUUUGCAGGGAGUGGGCACAGUGACUGGCUUUGGUCAAGGCAGUGGGUCCCUGAACGACCUCAACAGGCAGAGCCUCCUGCCAACCAGCGAUGGACACAAAGAACCAAAAGAGAAAUGAAUGUUUGCUGUUGUAAGCCUCUGACGCGUUGGGGUUGUUUGUUCCUGCACCACAACCUAACUCAUCCUGACUGAAACCGUAUGUGUUCAGAUUCAUUGCACCAUUUGCCCACUCAAGUGUGUCCCUGUUCCUUUGGAUAAUUGGGUCUUAUUGCAGGAAUAAAACACUCUCCAUGUCUCAGCAUUCUUUAAUUCAAUAAAUAACAAUGGAGC
RNAcentral lists this long non-coding RNA (928 nucleotides) under Equus asinus (donkey). RNAcentral describes it as "lncRNA (ENSEASG00005034602.1)". The record is from RNAcentral. Lineage: Eukaryota; Metazoa; Chordata; Mammalia; Perissodactyla; Equidae.